This 33080-nucleotide long non-coding RNA is filed under the name Marmota monax (woodchuck). Lineage: Eukaryota; Metazoa; Chordata; Mammalia; Rodentia; Sciuridae. The record is from RNAcentral.
GUGGAUUCAAUCCAGGGCCUUAUGCAUGCAAGGCAGGCACUCUACCAAGUGAGCUAUAUCCCCAGCCCCAGAUAAAUAUAUUUAAUAUGUUUAUUUUAGCUCUCUUUCCCUAAUCUUUGUCACUUGUGAAUUACCAUUGGCCACAGUUAGCCUUAUCUGAGUACCAUGUGUGUUACUAUUUUCUGAAUAUUGUUCUUAAACUGACUCACUUUCUCAAACUUACUUACAGGGGAAGUUGAUAUUAUUUCUGUAAAUGAGAAACCAGGAAGAUAUACUUGCCGUAAAUAAAUGGAAGUUCUAAACAUAAAUAAAGAUCCAAGAAAAACAACAUUAAAUUCUAAUUAGAUAUUGUUAUGUCCUUAUCUUGUGGUCUAUGGUCUUUGUUAUGAAAGAGCAUUAGCUAAUAUUUAAGAAUGAUGAGGAUAGAGUUAUAGCAUACUAAAACUUAAACCUUGAUAUAAUCAGUGGAAAGAAAAAAAUGGGAAAAGAUAUACCUUUUUAACUACAUUUAUUUCAAAUUUGAUAUACCUAAUAUUAGUUCCUGAUGGCUUAGGGAAUUCAGUUCUUUAAAAACAGAUUGAUUCUUUUAUUUCUAGAGUCAAAGCAAUUAAUCAAACCACUAUCUAUUACUGAACAUUUUGCACAGCCAAAAAGUCCAGGGUCUGUUGUCUUUAUUCAAAAAAAGUUUUCUCUUGAAGCAAAGGAAAUGACAUAUUUGUGAAAAUUUAAUAAUGUCAAAACAACUCAGGAAAUGUAUUCUUUGUCAUGUACUUGGGGCACACUGUAAUGUUAUGGAUAUGUUUAGCAUAAGUUAAAUGUAAAUUCUGGGGUGUAUGUAUCAAACCCAAAUUUUAAGGUGCAAAUGUAAUGUCAAGAGUGUGGCCUAAUUUGACUGGAUUAACACUGGCAGUUUUUCCUCUCUUGCUCAGUUUUUCAUUUAGACAGUAUCUGACACCCAGACAUUGAACUGAUGUAUGGAGAUUCUUAUGAAUAGAAACUGUCACAUCACGAUUUCUGAGCUCUUAAUUUUUUUCCCCCUAGAGAACUAUGAAUCUAUUUUUACAUUUGUCUUUUGUUCAUAAAGGUCAGAUAUAAAUAAAGUAGUCAACAUCUCAUCCAAAUAUUCUAGAGAGCACAGCUAAUAUUCUAGUUGUCUUUAUACAAGCAACCCUUAGUAGCUUGCUUUCAUUGACACACAGUAUGUAAAAGGGAUUUUCACAAUUGCCAGUGUGAUUUUGAAUCCAUGUUUUACCUUAUUUUAUCUCACAGAAACAUUUUUAGCAUGUAAAAAUUAGCUCACUAGAUUUUAGUCAAAUCUCUUAUAAUACUAGUCUAUGCUAUAUAACUUGGUGUACAAUUAUGUUUAUAUUUUUGUUUGAUUUAUAGUAUGUUAUAUAUGUUUCCCAACUAGAUUAUGGGCAUCUUCAGUAAAAUUUUACAUACAUAAAUAGUGGUGUGUGUGUGUGUGUUUGUGUGUGUGUUUUGAUAUCUUGAUACACGCCUUAAGUGGGUUCUCUGAGGUCAGGCCCUUGCAAAGUACUUAUUCGGUAACUGAUACAGAUCCAGCAUGUAUUUAGCCCUUGUUUAUCCUUGCUAUUUUAUUGAGACCAACUGCAUAAGUAGUUUGAAAGAACAUUAUUUUUUUACAUCGAACUUUUAAAUACAUGCUGAUCAUCUUUAAUCUGAAAAUCCAAAAUCUGAAAUAAUCCCCAAACUGAAAUUUUUAAAGUGCUGACAUGUGAAAAAUUCACACAUGAGUUCAUGUGAUGAGUUGCAAUCACAAUAUCCAUGCAAUAAAAAUAUCGUGUAGUAUUACCUUCAUGCUAUGGGCAUAAGGCAUAUAUAAAACAUAAAUGAAUUUUGGUUUAGGACUUGGAUCUCUUCUCCAAGAUGUCUCAUGAUGUAUAUGCAAAUAUACCAAAUUGUGAAGCAAUCUGAAAUUCAAAACACUUCUCUUUCCAAGCAUUUCAAAUAAAGGCUAUUCAACCUGUAUUAUGGUUUUUUUUUUUUUAAUAUUAGACUUUAGAUUGAAAUAGGAGUAGAAGGUACAAAUUUCCUUUAUCAAUGAUGCUUUGCUUCCUAAUUCUUUAUGCCAACGGAGGCACUGAGGAAAUGCACACCAGGUCCCACCAGGAUGCUUCCUGGAGAUGCAGAUUUUUUUCGUGAUCUUUGCAGGGCCGUGUCAUUUUAAUGAGAUGCUCAGUCUGACAGAAAUUAUUGAUGGCCUCAAUCUGAGACAAGUGCCAGCUGGAAUCAGCUGUAAAAUGGCAGCUCACACUGCUGCCCUCAGGGUUUCUGCUGGGAGCAAAGGCUAAAGAAAGGAAGGGUUGAAAGGCACACCACUCUCUGGCAGGAAUGAAGGGAGGUCACUGUGACUUGGGUAAUGAGUGUAGCAUAGUAUACAAAGUAAUUGAAUUAAUGGAGAAAAGCAUGGCUCUCAAAUUCCAAAUUGUAUUGUUAAUGCUUUUUUUUCUUAAUGGAUUUAAAAAAUAGUUCAGAGUUUUCCCAAAGUCAUUCAAACUGGUUUGUCACAUAGACCAAUUUAAAUAUUGAAGAGGGUGACGGAUGGGUCAAUAGUAAUGAGAAACCUGAAGGUCAAGAACCUUGGGUUCAUGUGAAGUCUUUGCACAUGAACCAUGCAAUUUUACAAAUGCAGAAAUGUUCAGUACCAACAGCCAAGAAUCCAUUCAUGCAUUGGCUUCUGUUUGAGGAGUUGUUCGGUUCCUUAGUACCUUAACAUAUGUUUAACCCACAAGAGAAUAUUAAUCAUUGAACCAGUUGUUAAGUUUUUGUUAGUUUCCUUUCUUUAAGAAAAAUGAUGAAACAACUAAGUUAGGCUGCUUCCAAUGGCUGCUGUAGGAAUCACUCUCCUGCCAGCAAGAGGCCCCUUUCUUCUAUCCAGGCCACUUGCCUGUCCUUUAUAGGGAAGACCAGCUCAUUCUUUUAUUUUGAUAUCAGGGAUUGAACUCAGGGCACUCAACCAUUGAGCCACAUCCCCGGCCUUAUUUGGUAUUUUAUUUAGAGACAGAGUCUUAUUGAGUUGCACCUCACUUUUGCUGAGGCUGGCUUUGAACUCCUGCCUCAGCCUCCUGAGCCACUGGGAUUACAGGCAUGUGCCAACACACUCCACUCCCAGCUUAUUCUUAACUGAUACUCUUUCCUAUGUGCUCAACAGAUUGUUGGGGAUGUUUUAGGUAGUGUAUCAGUUAACAUUUUUAUUUAUAUAACAAAGUAUUUUUUUUAUUGUAUUGGAGUGUAAAAGCACAGUUGUUGAAAGUUCUUCUUUAGCAAGUGUCCAAAUUUUAACCUAUUAAUGAUAGGACCAGGAGGAGGUCAAAAGAGUUGAUUCUAUGUGCAUUAGAAGGACAGGGAUGUAUAUAGUUAGCAAGAAGGAAAAGCAGAAAGAAAAUUGCAUAAUUAGGGGAUGGGGUUGAGGCUCAGUGGUAGAGCACUUGCCUAGCACAUAUGAGGCCCUGGGUUUGAUCUUCAGCACCACAUAUAAAUAAAUAAAUAAAACAAAGGUAUUGUUUCCACAACUAAAAAUAAAAAAUAAUUUUAAAAAAGAUUGCUUAAUUAAGUAUAAAACUUUUGAAAGUUCUACAGCGUGAUAAAACCAUACCAACGUCUUGUUCAGAAUUAAAGUCAUACCAACAUGCCGAUUUCUGUAGGUUAACUUCUAAUACUACAGGGUUAUUAUCAGCAUGUACAUUUAUUGGUGCAGAUUGUUAGUUAAAUAAUCUUUGACUUAUCCUAAGAGUAUCGGAUUAGGACCAAGUAUGGUUAUUAGAAAAUUUUCUAGCUUGAUGAGGAGUGAAGGGGGCAAACCUCUCCUUUACUUUCCAUUCUUUUUAGAUCAACUGGAUCACUAGUUUUUCAGGAAAAAAAAUUCCCUCUAGUAGGAAUAAAGGAAGUCAGUGUUUAGUAAUUGCAGCAUAGCGUAAGGAAUAACUGAGACAGCAGAGAAGAACCAGGCUCUAUGGACUAGGCCAAAUGCAUGUGCAAUUUUUAGGCCACAAAUUCAGGAAUAAAAAUGUGACUUCUGAUAUUUCCUCCAAACUCAAUAUCUAUCUCUGCCAUUAUCAAAAGACAUAAUCCGUUUUCCUACAGGUAAAUUUUAAUGUGUUGCUGAUUUCUUUAUUAAAUUAGAAUGAUAUUCGGCAAAUUGACAAUCGUUCUUCUCUCUCUUUCCCAGGGUGGAAUUUUUUGUUCCCAGGGCUUUGUUGCAUUUUAGUUCUGGGGCUUUGAGACUGCUGUGCUGACACUGAUUUGAGUGAGUGUGGUUACCCUUCCACAUUGGGGCCUUAGUAGUGGCACUAUGGUGGCUGCCUUACUUCUAGAUUCUGUCUGUGUUUCCACCCAUGGUUGUGUCCCCUUGACAAGAAAGCAAGAUCUCUACAGGGCAAGCUGGCCUGCUCCGACUUCCCAUCUUCUCAGGGACAUGGGGAGGGCAGCCUAUUCUUCCCCAUCGCCCGGGCAUGAAGACUUGGCGACUCAGAAUUUCUCUGCUCUGAUGUCCCAUGAAGCUCUCUCUACUGCUUCCCACUUGCUCCCCCAUACCAUAGUGGGAAGGAGCACACACCUUGCAUGCUCGGAUCCCCAAAAUCUGAGUUCUGUCGUCCAACCGUUCCCCUCCUUCCUGCUUCAACACCAGACUUUGCCCAGAGCGAGUUGGACUGUGGGUGCCUCCUGAGCCUUACUCUUCUUCUUGUCUCCACAAGUCCCUCCUCUGAGAAGCUUUAUUGCACCUUGAGGGGGCAGGGAGAAGAGUUUGUUCAGCGACAGUUCUUUUGAAUCUUUCUGCCUUUUGUUUAGACUAUUGCUUUUUUAAAAAAUUUUUCUUUAUUUGUCAAUGGACCUUUAUUUAUUUAUUUAUAUAUGAUGCUGAGGAUCAAACCCAGUGCCUCAUACAUUCCAGACAAGCUUGCUACUGCUGAGCCACAGCCUCAGCCCCUAGACUAUUGUUUUUUUAAAGCCCAGGAUCUCACUCUCAGUUCCCUGGCUCCUCUCUUUCGUGCCAUCUUGGGCAAAUGCUGCCUCAUGCUCUGCUGCUGGACUGGGGAUGUUGGUGGGAUCAAGAGUGAGAGGUAAUGCAGCUGCGUGCAUUGUGCAAACAGUGCUGGCCCUGUUCUAUGUGGCCAUCUCUAGGAAUUUCAACUUUAAAAUCCCUGAGGUGGUAUUUUAUAUUAUGGAAGAAUAACUGAAGAGAUGGUAGUUUUUGAACUGGGGGACCCUUCCCCUCAAACAUACAAAAUUGUUAAGUCAGAACAGGAUGAAAGAUGCAUUACAGAAAAGCCUCAGCUAGAAUUUAAGAGGGAAGGACUUCAAAGCAGUCUUGCUUCCGUGGCCUUUAAACCUCUUGUUUCUGAAGUUUCAAAUGAAAGGAGUUUGUUCCUGAUCACCCAGAGGGCAAAAGGGGAGCUGAUAUUUUGACACAGCUUUCUGCCAUCCUGUGGGAAAUUGCACCAGGGCUAAGGGUAGCAGAGGAACAAGGCCCAGACUGUCAAGUCCCUUUCUAACAGUUCCUGCCAACAGAUUGUACAACUGUCUGUUGGUCUGCAUCAGGAAUUUUCCCAUGCCCAGCAUCUUCUCUGUCACUUUCCUUUUUUUUUUUUUAAUGAAAUGUUAUAUUAGUUAACUCUUCAUGACUAUAAUGAAUUACCUGAGGCAGACUAACUUUAUAAAGAAAAGAGGCUUAUUUAGCUCAUAGAUUUGGAGGUUUAAGAGCAAUGUGCUGGUACUGGUUCAGUUCUGGUGGUAUCUUUCUUGUGGCAGUCACUAGGCAGUAUGUGGAGUCACAAACAGGAGACAGAAAGCAUGGCUGUCUGUGUCUGUAUCAUUGGUCUCUCUCCUCCUUCUAGUAAAGUUUCCAGUAUUCAAUCAUGGAGGAAUCCACCCUAAUGGCCUUAUCUAAACUUAGUAACUUCCAGGAGGCCCAAUUCUGAACACCAUAAGCGGAUUAUGUCUGUACCCUCUUAACAGUGUUACAUGCCUUCAGUGAUUGAACUCCUGCAUAAAUCUGGGGGAACAAACCAGAUUGAAACCAUAGCAGAUGUCACUCUCUUAACCACAGAGGCCCAGGAUUCAGCAGCCUCGGGGGCUCCUGAUUUCCACAGAUGGCGACCACAUUGUAGAUCUUCACCAAUGCAUAGACAAGCCUAACCCAGUUCCACUUUUCACCACGUGCCCAUUACAGAUGAAGACAUCAAGGCCCAAAGAAUUUGUGAGUUCUCUGAAACCGUGCUGCUAGUACCUAGAGGAGAGAGCAUGUUCAAUCCAGGACCUUAGCAUGGCUUUAGGCCUCUCCUUAUGAGAGGGUCUUUCCUGAAAUAUAGGCACCUGGUGACUCCUCACCCUCCUGCAUGGUGUCUGGUGGCCUCCAGCUCUGCACAUGCCGUGACUUUUCAUGACACUACACACACAGCACCUCACACUGCUACUCUCCAGGUGCCACCCUCUCUUAAUUUGACUGACUGUUAUUUUCUGGAACUUUUCCUUGUAUUCAGAAGCCACCACUCAAAUAGACCCUUCCUCACACCGAAGCCAUGUACCAAUCAAAGACCUACUGAUUCCUCCUGGUCUUCUCAAGUGGAACCUUUGCACCUUUUGUCACUGGGUGGAUCUCCCACAAAACCCUUGUGAAUGAGGACAGAGGGUGAGAGUGAAUCAGUACCGUCUUUCAUCAGGACUCUUGGUCCAGACUGGAUUAGCUUAUGUGUGUGUUGGCCCCAGUCAUUAAGGAAAGAAUAUUUUCACCACUUCUUCUCCUCUUUUACCUUUCUUCUCUCCACCUGUCCAAAACUUCCUGAUUCUUAGCAGACAGAAUUCAGAAAAAUCAUCGGUUGAUACUAUGUCUUGGUCAGGUGGGGGGAUGCAGUGCAGUCUGUGUGUGUGUGGUGUGCGUACCCACACAUGUGUGCAUGCAAUUUGUACUAACAGAUUCAGGGUUAUAAGUCAGGUUAUGAAUUACAGUUUCAAUAGAGUGGCUAUAUAGCAUAAGUCAAGUAUAAAGCACAAGAGACCGGCAACUUUCUUGGAUAUUUUGGUGGACUCUGAGAUAAUAAAUCAAAACACAGGAUGCUGUGCAAGAUUCAAAGACUUGUUACUUCCAACUCAUUACACAUGGGUGCUUUACAAAAAUAUUUACAUUGAAAUCUUGAAGAUAUGGGUAGAACAUUGUGUUCAGAAUAACAGCCCUCAUAAUAAGAAAAAUAGUACUUCAGGCUGGAAAGAAGUCUCAGUAUUAUUUUAUUUUUGUGGUAACCAGAAGGAUUGCCUGUGGUGACAUGGCCUCCUAGAGAGGGUUCGGAAGAACUGGGGACCCCCUCACACCCGUCUAGCCUGAGUCCGGGCAGUAACAUGCAGGGCCUGCCCGCUUUCAUGUCCCAGCGUUCACUUGCACUGUGAUCUUCGUUGGGCAAUUUGCUGAUUCCACUAAGGCUCAGUGUUUUAGUUUAGGCUACUGGAAAAAUCCCAUCCACUGAGCAGCAAAUAAACAACAGAAAUUUAUUUUUCAUAGUUCUGCAGACUAGAGGUCCAAGAUCAAGGUGCUGGCAAAUUCUGUGUCUGGUGAGAACCUGCUUCCUGGCUCACACUAGGCUCUUUCUAGCUGUGUCUUCACAUGGUGGCAAGAAUAGCAGAGCUCCCUUGGGCCUCUUUUCUAAGGGCACUGAUCCCAUUUACGAGGGCUCUGCCCCCAUGACCUUGUCACCAUCCCUUGCUUCCUAAUACUGUCAACUUGGGGUUCAGGAUUUCAACAUCCGAGUUUGGGGGAAUAAGAAGGAUUCAGACUACACUACUCAAUUUGCUCAUCUGUAAAAUGGGGGCAAAACAGUCACCCUUCAGUGUGAUUGUGUGUGAGAGAAUCAGUGAGUGAAGGGCUUCCCAAUGUCUUGCCCCAUCUGUGCCAAGAAAGCACCAUUCUUCCCCCCAGAUGCUCUUAACUAACACUCCAGAGGGGAAAAGAGCAGUUUGAUUCCAUCCUUGUCUCAGAGUAAGGAAGCAAGUAGGAUUAGUUUUGAUUCUUGAAAGUAAAUUGCCUCUUAUGAGGAAUUUUGUACUUCUUUGUUUUAAAAUACUAAAUUGUUUUAAUAAAAACUAUGAAAGAAUACAAAGUGUUCUAAUAGUUUAAACUUUAAAUUUGUUAAAAACAAUUUUUUUCCUACAGUAUUAAAUUUUAAGGAGACCAAAUAUGGUAUCAAUGCCACAGUAAGAAGUACCAUAUAGAUAUGAAUCUUGGGCAUGUUAUAUCUCACUGACAUUGUUACAAUCAACCUCAUUGAUAUCAUUUUUUUUCUUUUACUCCCCCCUCCCCGACUCCCUUCUUUUUUGUGUUGGGGAUUGAACCCAGAGCUUUGAGCACUCAUUGAUUUCUUUUUAAGGGAAAAUUAUUUUAGUAAAAAAAUUUUGGGGGGGAUAAAAUUGUUCAUAUAAAUAUAAUCUGCUUUUUUUGUGAAUAGUUAGGAAGUGUAGUAUUAUUAAUGAGCUAAUUUGAAAGAUUGAGAGAAAAUGCUUUAAAACUAGAUUCAAUGAUAAGGCUAAUAUUUGCCGUGAACUUGGUGGUUGUUCAUCAGUAGAUGAAGAAUAAAAAUAAGGGAAUAUAUUUAUUUGGAUUUUCAAAAAAUGUUUUGUUUUCCUGAAAUUAUUAAGGGAUAAAUUAAUCUUCAUUCGAGGGAAGGAGGAUGCUAAAAAUGUGAGAAUUCGAUCAGAUGAAAAACCCAGAAUCAGCUACACUUGUCCAGGGAAAUCAAGAUUUUGCAAAUAUUCAGGUAGACUUCUUACACAUCAUUCCCAGUCUGAAGUUUCCUUUGUCUCCCCAGUCCUAACUCAUAUCCCAGUUUAGUAAUCCUGCAAGAAUCCCCCAUGGCUCUAAGCAGAUGAUGGGACCCCAGCUUGCUGUGAUACAGUGACAGCAUGUACCUGAGAGAUUUGGCAGUACCUGAGACUAAACAUUAAUUUUAGUUCAGGUGGCAGGGUGGGAAAGACCCUUUAAAUUCAAAAUAAGUACAGAUUAGGUGAAAAUGCUUUUAAAUGCAAAGUACAAUAAAAGGAUCAGUAUUCAGAAUAUGUAAGAAUAUUUACAAAUUAGCAAGAAAAAAUACAGCAAAGUAUAGUAACCUCACUUGUAUUCAAAAAAUACAACAGAAAAAAAUCAGAUUGGCACAAUUGAAAAUUUGAUAAUAUGUAGUGUUGAUUAAGGUAUAGGAAAAUAGUUUCUCUUCUGUCAGAGUAUAAGGUGACUUAGCCAUUUAAAAAUGCGUUUAUUACAGGGGGCUGAAGAUGUGGUUCAGUUGGCAUAAAGCUCACCUAGCAUGUGUGAGGACCUGGGUUCAAUCCUUGCCCCUCAAAUAAUUUGUCACUGUAAGAAAUGUGUAUAUUCUAGGGACCAGCUAUUUAAUUUCUCCAUAUCAGCUUUGAAAAAGCUCUUGUACUUAACACACAAUGAGGCAUGCACAUGUAUACACAGUGCAGCAUCACUUAAAAUCAUGAGAAUCGAAAUGCAACUCAGUGCCCAGCAAGGCAGGAGUGGCCAAGUAAACCAUGGUGCUUCCAGAACAUGUGAAACUAUCAGCAGUUAUAUGGAAUGAGCUAGAACUGGGUGUGUUGGGGGAAGAAAAGGAUCUCCAUGAGAGGCUGAGAAAACAAAUUGUGAAAUAGUCUAUAAGAUGUGAUGUGUCACCAUUCAUUUAAAAGGCAAAGGAGGGAAGAAGGGAGGGAGGGACUGAAGAAGGAAGAAGGACAGAAGGAUAGAAAAGGAGGAAAUAAUACUAGAGACUUUCUAUAGUAGUGACUUUCAAUGUCUUUUGGAAAUAACCCUCAAUAAGAUACACCCAUCAUGUCUUGAUGGAGUGGACCCUUACUACAUGAGAUGUACUCUGAAAUUGUUCUUUCCUGUUCUAAUUUGCUUUGUUCCAUUUGUCAAAAUGGAAUGAAUCGAAUUACAACACAUUAAAUUGAUUUCAGGACUCAACCAUAGUUUGGAAAGUAGUGUUCUGGAGAUACACACACACACACACACACACACACAAAUGGAUAGAAAAAGACCAAAAGGCAAUACACCAAGUUGAUAUUAGGGAUUAUCUGGGUAGGUGUGGAAGUGUGGGGUGGUUUCUAGGGAGCCUGAGCACCAUCUGUAAUACUUAUAUUUUGAUCAUUUGCUGUUUUAUAAGGAACAAACAUAAUUAAACAUCUGAAAUUUAGUUUUUUGAAUAAGCCAUCAAAACUAUUUUUGAAAGUCAAGAAUUUACUGGGAUUAAGAGGGUAGUGGUCUUAAGGGAAAUAAUUUUCAAGUUAAUUUGCAUAAUUGAUCAGUUCCCAAAGUAGGCAACCUAGCUAACUCUCUCUGUUUUUGUAUUUAGGGCCACAGAUGAGCACAUGCUUGUGGCAAGGUAGAGUCAAACCUGUGUGAUAUCCCACCCCAAAUGUCAUCACAAGCCUAAGAGCUCUCUGCCAAUGCCGUGAGAUUUUAACUUGUUACCUAUGGCUGUCAUGUCUACCAAUAAAAAAUACAAAGUAGUCAAUGUGAAAUGCUAAAAACCCAAGCCCCGCCCCCAUUUUCAGAAAAUGCAUAGUUAAUGUUUCUGUAGUAGCAUCAGCUUGGCCACAUCACCUGGUUUCCAUUUUUUGCUAUGGAUCUGAACAAAGAAAGGGUUGCAUUAUGAGCAUUGUUCCUGCAAGGACUAUCACUGUAGAAAAUGUGGCAGGUGUACACUUGGCCAUCUCUACAAGCUGGAGCAGACAAUUCCCAUUUUCUAUUUUACAGUUACAUUAGUGCUUUCUGAUUUACCUUCAUAUAUUUACCCUAAGGGUAAUUUAUUAAACCUCAUUUUAAUGAUCAAAUAAUUAAUGCUUAAAAAGAGUUAGAGUAUUCAGGGGAGAUAAAUCCUUUAACUUCCAAAUAUUUAAGCAAGAUGUUGACUGCAGAUGACAUAGAAUCUGAUUAUUUCUUGUGCUAAUAUUUCAACUAAAGAUACCUAGUAAAGAGGAUGUUUAUAUUUUAUUCUUUUAUAUGUCUUAAAUAUAAAUUUUAAUAUGCUUAUAAUAACACAUGUUAACUCUUAAACAACUACACUACAUUUUCUCUUUAAAUGUUUUGAAAACAAAGAAUUUAUGGCAAAUAUGCAAGCUUUCUCAGAAAGCACUUGUAUUAGAAUCAUUUUGAAAAAAAUCUUAAUGAUUGCUAAAGCAGUGAUUAUAUUCAAGUUUAAUUUCAAAUAGGUUUGAUGUUGUAUGGAAAGAAGAAAAGUGGAUCAUAGAAACUAUUUUUUUAAAAUGGAAUUAUUAAGGGUUACUAAAAGCAUGCUGAAAGCUAAGGGCAGGGAGAGAAAGAAUAUCAUAAGGCACAUAUCUGAAGUCCCUUUUCCAUGUCCUCCCAUGGGAAGUUAGAGGUAAGAGGAGGUCGAGUUGGUCUGGUGGCCAUCAUAGGGAUCAAGGUCAUCCCUUUAAAUAGCCUGAUAUCAGACUAACAGGUGUCAAGUUGUGUAUGAGUGGCUGAUAAAGCUUUAUAAGGAAAAGUCAGGAAAAAAUAUAAAUGUGCCCAUCUUAGACCUAGGAUGAAAUUCAGGUGAAAAUUAUAAUUCAUAAUAACCAAGGAUUUAAAAAGUACUUAAUUCUAGCUAAGAGAAGUUUUGUUUCUCUGUAACAUUGCCUAUUUGGUGUUUGUGUUUAUUAGUUGGGACAAAAUUGGUUUUAAAAUAUUUUAUGGAGGAUAUAAUGAAUUUAAAAUUUAAAAUCAUUAUAGCCACUUAAGUGUAUCUGAAGCUGGGCUUUUCAGUGGCCACAAAGCACCACUUCCUCCUUGCUGAAACUGCAGGAGAAAUAUCUAGUAGACAAUUGGUCUUGCAAAUGACAGGUACAACCAUUAUGUUACUUAGAAGCUUGAGAAGUAAAGGGAAGGAAUUGUUUAUUCCAAAUCAUAAAAUAUUACAGCGUUUCUUCAUAUUGUCUCAUUUAUAAGGUGAGGUCUUUCCUUUAAAUUUUUUUUUCAGAAAAUUAUCCCAUUUUUUUUACUAAUAUCGUCUUUGAAAGAGAACUUGACUAACUGUGGAAUUUUUCACCCACAGCAUCUGCAGGAAUUGCUGUGUCCCAGAGGAAGGUGCGUCAGAUCAGUGAUCCCAUCCAGCAAAUACUAAUCCAGCUGCACAAAGUCAUCUAUAUCACACAGGUCAGUGUUCCAGCCUUCUAUUUCUUUUCCAUCUGAAACACAAGUUGGGUACUAAUACCACUGAAGAACUACCUUGUAGGACUUCCAGCUGAGUGAACACUUGUUUUUAUUUCCUCCCAGGACACACGUGUAGGGAGACUUCUUGGCAACCAAGCUGGGAGGGCAACAGGGUAAAAAAGCAAAUAGGUCGGGGUUUCCUUGUGAUUUCUUCCUGCCCAGUGCUGCAGUCUGGCUGGGCACAAAUGCCACAGUCUGGCUGGGCACACAAUCACGAGCCNAGGAUGCUCGGUUGACACUAGGAAGGCUCAGAAAUAUGAAAGCCAAAAACCACACAAAAUCCAGGAUUAUUAAGAUUUUCUAUUUGUAAAUCUCAGAGACUUAGGCACUGAGGAAAAAGAAUCAGUAUUGAAAAGUAUCUAUUAAUGAUGGACAGAAACCUGUCUAGUGAAAACAACUUAAAAUAUUCAAUAAGAACUGUAACCAUUUGGGCAAGAAAGUCAGUAUUAUGUUGAAGUUUAUGACUGUGUGUUAUAUGUAGCUUAUUGAUAUAUUUGCUCACUGGAUAUGUGAUGACUAAAUGCCUGCCCUGAGCCAAACACAAUUCCAGGUCACUGGAUCUAUCAGUGACCAAAGCAUAAACACUUCCUCACUGUAAGAUUCAAAGAUCCAAGCAGGAUCUAGUGUGCACCAAUGACUCAGGAGACUGAGGUAGGAGGAUCACAAGUUCAAGACCAGCCUCAAAAAAAGAACUGGGGAUGUAACUUGGUGGUGAAGCACCCCUGUGUUCAAUCCCCAGUACCAAAUAAAUAAAUAAAUAAAUAAGAUUAAAAAAUUCUGCCUUGGGUUGCUGUCAGUAGCCAACUUUGGCAAUUCCAAUUUUCCAUUCAAGUCCUGCAGAGAAAUAUCUAAAGAUCAGUGGACCAGCUGGGAUCAUUAUAAGUGCAUACUUGGGCUGAUAUUUCAUUUAUCACCGAAUACCCUUCCUGCAAAAAAUACAGCAAAAUACUUUUUGAUUGGUGCAACACAGUGGCAUUUUAAGACUCUAGGAAUUUGCUUAUUGGUUUUUAACCAGUGUCUAUUAUUCCCAAAAAACCUGUGCCUCCUUUUCCCCAGUGUACAAUCACUUCAGUAAAUGGCUGCAGAUCUCUGUGGGAAGGCUUGGAGGAAAUGUUAUAGUAUGUUUCAGGACCUGCCUCCUCAUCGCAUCCCAGCUUCCGUAUGAUCCAAGGGGCUCUGGGCCCUUGAGUUGACUUAGGUCUGGAAACUAUAUUGGAAACUAUAACAGUGGCAGUGGCAACUCCGGUCAGGAUCUUGUCUGCCAGAUCUGGAGCUUCUCUUCUGUUUCUUGGGCUCAGAAAUGUCCUACCUAGUAGGCUGAUUACUGAUUUUCUUUCCAGGAACACCCUAGUUAAUUAAUUACCACCAAAGAUGUCUGCAGUGAAAGGCUCUCUAACUAACAGCAUGUUGCCGCUACCUUGUCAUGAACGCUCACCACUUGUCACAUGCUUUCAAAUGGCCUCUCUCUGCCCAUUGGAUACAUUGGAAUACUGUGUCCUUCAGUGUCAUAGCUGGCUUACAAAGGAGAGCAACCCUGGGGCCUUCCAAGGAUGCAGAGGCUCCCCUCUCCGAGUAUUUCUCAGUGCCUUACUAAAAGAAGAGCCUUUUGGGUGUUCUGUCUGAAAGCGGUGGGGGAGUGGACGUGCAGAUCACAUCUAGUAAAUCCACUGCAAUGUUCCUGUUUCUCUGAGCCUUUGGAUUCCCUCCUCCACGUGCCAGAGAAGUUCUGGCACUUUACCAUCACGAAACACAGGCCACCAUUGAAAAUCAGUUUCAGUCCACCAAAUAGUUAAGCUGCACCUCCAUCUGCUGAACUAACACAUUAAAUCUCUACUGUGUGCACCCACAUUGAUGAAUUCAGUCUGGUCUUGUGCUAUAUUUUAUCCUUCCUGGCCUAACAUCCUUAGAAUCCACUUCUGCACAUGUUCUCUGGCUGGUUGCUAAUAUAUAGUAGCAAAAUCUUGCAAUUCUUUUCGAGGAUAGGUUAUUUCCUCCAGAGUGGUGGUGGAUACUAAUUCCCCUAGAUCAUAGUGAGAUACGUCUCUGGCUAUGGAUUUGGUCCUCAUUGUUGUGGAUCUUAUGAAGAAUGAGUAUUUCUUUUAAAGACAUCUGUUCCCAUUGAUUUUAUCAUCCAGUUUUCAAGCAAAGGGAGGUUUGUUUUCUUAGACACAGAGCAACAAGCUUCUUGCAUUAACAAUGAAGGCCCAGAGUGACUUGGGUUUUAAGACUGUCAGCAUGAUCUGGGCUCAGCGAGAAAUCCCUAUUCUAAUUUUUAGUAUCCUUUUCUUUUUUUUCUAACAUUCACAUGAAAAACUUGAUGAAGUGUGAAUUCAACUGACAUUGUAAUUUAUCAGCCUUUCCAAUUAAAUUCAGCAUUUGAUUAUCAGCCAUAUCAGUGCUUUGACAGCACAAAAUAACAGGUUAUUUUGGAGCUGCUGGAAUCUUCCUGGGUCUCAGAUCAUGACUUGAACAGACAGUUAAAAGAUCCACACUUGUUACUUUAUCAGUGCUCCAGUGCACUCAAAAAAGUCCAUUCCAUACCACAGUCCUUGUGGUCUUUGUUGUUGCCUGACAGUCAAGUGCAGUGGCCAUUUGGGCUUUAGUCAGCACUGCAUCGAGGUGAUGAGCUGAUCAGUUGUGGUGCCACUAAAUGAAAUAAGUUACUGGAUCCUAUUGGAUAUUGUCCUGUUGGUGACAAACCAACCAACCAAAUUCAGCACUGAUCCAAGGACACAAUCAUACCACUCCCCAAAUCCUGUCUUUGGGGGUCAAGCUCCUUGGACAUUCCUGGAACCUUUAUCUGGUAUCAGUGAGGGUCCAGUCAGAAACCACACAAUUGUGUUAGUCAGCUUUCCCUCACUGUCACAAAUACCCAAGACAAUCAACUUAUAAAGAGAAAAGUUUUAGGGGUUUAUUGUGGCUCACCAUUUUUGAGAUUCCAGUCCAUGAUGAGUUGGCCCUUGACAGGCCUAUAUCAAGGCAGUAUAUCAUGGUAAAAGAACAUGGCGGUGCAAAUCCUCUCACCUUGUGUCUGAAGAGUAAGAGAGAGGAAAAGGAAGGUGCUGGGGUCUCACUGUCUCCUUCAAGUGCAGGUCUUCAAUGACCUGAAGACCUCCCACUAGGCCCCACCUAUUAAAGGUUCCACUACCUCUCAGUCGUGCCUCCUUGGAAUCAUGCUAUGAACACCUGGGCCCUUGGGGGACAUUCCAGAUCCAAGCCACAACAGUAAUUUCAACAAGGAAUGAGAUUAAUAUAAUAAAUUAUUAACGAUAACAGAAUUUUAUCUACUGAUGAUGAGGAAAGAAAUCCAAAGCACAUAGGAAUAGCAGAUAGAGAAGUCAUAAGCUCUAGGACUGAGGCAGAGCACCUAACAAGGAAACAAAUACGAACACCGCUUACUCUGGAUUGAGGUCCAGACAUCACUGGAAAGGUCAGAGAAAUUUGCAAAAGUGUCAUGCUGGGGAAAGUUGAUCAGAAGCCUCCCUCUGGGGACCAGAGCAAGACAUCACAUGAGGUACCAUGCUGUGGAAGUCGUUGGGAAAUCAGCACUGGAUGGUGUUGGUGUACACUCUCCAUGGAAUCAGGGGAGACUACCCAGAAGUAGGUGUUAUUUCAUAGAAGUCUCUGGAAAGCCACCUACAGAGUCAGUGCUACUGAAUGUGACUUGGGGUGACCUCUUACCACUGGGGUGUCACCGUGUACCACUGGAGCAAGGCAACAGCAUCGCUGGACCAGAAAGAUGAGCUCCAUCCUCCUUCAGGGUCCUUCCAGGGCCUUCCUAUGGGCGAGGUUGGCAUCCAGACAGCUGGUGAAGGAGAGCUGUGUUGGUUUCACAGGCAGGUCAGUCAAGGGCGGACUUGGAGCCGACGGGCACUGAUCAGUGGCCCACAGCCUGGGGACUAGGCAAGCAACUCUCUGGCACCACCCACACCCCCUCUGAUUUCUGCCUCUAGACUGAGGAGCCUCUUUCAUGCGUAGGGUUGAGCAGUCUGGUUCUUAUGUCAAAUUUUGUCCCAAAAUCUAUUGUUCUUUUUGGUCACCCUGAUGUCUGCUCUUUUAGAUGCAAAAGCCAAAAUGGAUUACUUUUCCCUCUUUUUUUCUGCCAUCCUUUUUCUUAGGUAACCACAAAAACCUUUCCAAGUAAAUGAAAAAGGGAGUGAAGGAGUACAAGGAAAUAUGUGUGUAUGGGGAGGAGGGAAGCCCUGGUUAAUAAAUAAAAAUUGUAAUCUGCUCUCUCUUAUAAAGUAUUGUAUUAAAAAUGCAUCUCCAUUUAACCAUUGAUAUGGAAACAUGGGAGACUAUUCUUAACUCUAGUGUUAUAGAAAUAGUUUAGAUGACUUUUCAGUUACCUCAACUAAUAACUAUUAAAUUAAGAGAAAUAUCCUUUGAAAUUUAAGUUCAGCUUCCAUAUGCCUGUCUCGGUAAUUUUGAUGUAAAAAAGGAAAAAAGUUUUUAACGGGUAUAUUCCAUUUCUUUAUUGAAUUUCAAAGUAUUUUUAAAGCAAGAAUAAAACUAUUGUAAAUAUCUGAUUAUUAUGCUUUUAAACUGCCAGUGUGACAAAUGAGUUCGCAUUUUUUUUUUUGGCAGAAUGGCUUUCCUUACUCCAAGUGAAGAUAUAACUAUCAUGGUUUUUCAAAUGUGUUUCAGAAUGCUGGAAAGUUCAUGACAUUGCACAUAGUAAGCAAUGAUUCCCCUCUGGGGAACUUUAACCUACAGUGCUAAACAAAGUCGAUGCUUUUGACACAAAUCAAAAAAUACAGGCCUAAUCAUUAUACUAGGGUAUGUGAUGUAAGUUAGAGACCAAGUCAGUUUUCUCUUUCUGCUAAUUGCAAAGGAAACUUGGAGAAAGCAAGGUUGAAUUGAGAAACGAAUCAACCAACCAAACAAACCCUUCUUUCUCUCAUAUUUAUGUACUUAAGCUUGGUGGCUGCCCUGACCUGAGGGCCACAUACUUCCUGAAAACCAAAAGAUGAACUUGCAGGGCAAACUUCUUGCCUUUGGCUGGUGGUGGCCUUUCCUGUCCAGUUGCCAUGGAGACAGACCUGUGAAAAUCACUUAAAAGCAACUAUUUUACAAGGCAGGAUGUUAAAAUCCUUACUUCUGCCUUCAGUGAUUUGACAUCUGUUUCUGUCAAAACUCAAAUGGUAAUCUUAAGACCAGGAAGCUAAGAAUGAAAAAUCUGUGGGUUCGUUUUCAUUGCCAGAAACCAAAAUCAAUCUUUGGCCUAUAAGGUGACUACAAGUACACAGGUGACCUUUUAGUAUGAGUUUUUAUGUAUUAUUGCUUAGGUAAGAGCUGCACAGCCAAAUUAAGGCUGGAGUUUAAGUCUAUUCUGUGUUUUGAUUGUCUUCUUAAAUAAAUGUGUCGAAAAUCAGCAUUUAUCAAUUUUUAAAAACUAAACAUCUAUCUCCAAGAGACCAGGCAGACAGUUCUGGUUGUAGAUCUUCAUGACUGUUCAUCUUAACAGCCACAAUCAUUACUAACAGGAAAAAAAAAUGCACAGUAAUGUGCUGUCCUCAAAUGAAAAUGAUCUUACUGGCUGUCAUCAGGGAAACAUGCAGUUUUUUUUUUUAAUUAAGAAUUUUUUUUUAGUUGUAAAUAGACACAAUACCUUUUUUAUUUUAUUUUUUUUUUAAUGUGAUGCUAAGAAUCCAACCCAGUGCCUCACACAUGCUAGGCAAGCGCUGUACCACUGAGCCACAAACCUGGCCCCGCGUGCAGUGUUUUGUAGCAAAGGAUUGAUAAGAAUUUAACAAUUCAUACUCACUCACCUGGAUCACCUGCUUACUAAUGGCAAGGUGACAGAGAUUAACCAGAACAGGAUAUUUAGGGUAAAUCUGUGUUACUCAAAUCAACAUAUGUUUUCAGGGACUGUAAAUUCUAAGAGAAGUGUUACAUUUUUGUGUGUGUGUUUGGAUGAUUGUCUUUGAAUAUCUCAUCUAGUAUUUAGGAAAAUUUCCUCUUAAGCAAUAACAUGUCAAAAUAACUUUUUCAGAAAUAGAAUCAGAUACUGGUUUAGGUAACUAUUUAUCAGAUGGAGCCCUAUGGACUGCUAGUGGUCUGCUGAUGUAUUUUUGGACAGAGAAUUUGGUUCUUUAGAAAGAAUGUAUACAUUCUUUUUUACAAGUUUGAAAAAACCUACUAGAAAAUGUACAGGUCAGAUUUCAUAAUUUUUCUUUUGUUACUUUGUAAGGUGUAGUAAAGCAAACAAAAUAUAAGCUGUCAAAUCUUUGGCUUUUGAGAAAGUCAUUACCUUUUCUAGAAUUAGUUUCUUUGCUCAUAAAAUGGGAGAUCUUCUGGGAUUACCAUGAGCCUUGAAGGAAACAAAGUAUAUGAAAAUAUUAAUAAACUAUAAAGUGCUGUCCUGCAGUGACUAGUACUGUUGGUAUUUGCUUUAGGGUAGCGAUUGUGCUAGAACACUUACUACUUCAGAAAGUGUAUUGCAUGUUAUAUAAGGUCUUUAAGUUCUGAUUUCCUCGCCCAUAAAAUAAGUGCUGCUUUAUGAGUUUGUUGUGGGUAAAAAGUAUGAUCAUGCCCAUAAAAGAGUGAUCAUGGUGCCUAGCACAUAUGAAUCAUAGGUAUUGAUUUUCUAUUACUGGUAUGAUAGUUCUUGUGCAUAAUAUAUCAUUAUACUCACAUCAUCUGCAGUUUAGCUAAGCAUGAGUCAUCUAAAAUUUAAAAUUCUUCCAUAAAAACUUUAACAAUGAGAUGCUGUCUAUGGGGAUCAUUAUUCCAAUAAGAUACAAUAGCUUUCUAAUACUUCCCAGUGUAUGAAUCUUUAAGUUGACUGAACGUUAGCUCAUUCGAAUGAGUUUUAUACAAUUUAUGCAGGUCAUCUAGAGCAGUAAGUGCAAUUAGUUCUAAGUUAAAUAGAGGCUUAUCAAGUUAAAUAAACAGCAAGAUUUUUUAGAGUAUCUGAAUUAAUUCGAUACUGAUAGCUGCCAGAGUACUGGGCUGAGGUUCCUUUGAAGGAACCAUGAGCCCACUGGGUGCUUCACACCUUCAAGAGUUUAUAGUACAGACAGUACUUGCUGCCUUUCUCUUGGACAGCUGUGCUGCAAUCACACUGGGCCACAGACAUAUAGUCCUGGGCCGACACUGCCCUCUGGUGUUUGAUUCAGUGAGGUGGCAACUUCUGGUGUGCAGCAAUAGAGAAUCCACCAAACCCCAUGUCUCUCCAUGGACUUUUCCCAUCCCCUUCUUGCUCAACCCAAACCUUCGCCAGGAAAGUGUGUGUGUGUGUGUGUGUGUGUGUGUGUGCCUCUCCCCUUCAUUGUCUGUUUCUAUUGCACAUUAAAUCCAUUCUUCUUUUGCUAUUCUUUCCUGCACACAUCUAUCUUUUAUGCUCAUUUCCAUUGUCUGUCUUCCCACUAUUUGCUCAUUAAUGCUCAGAAAUAUCACUCCUUUAUCUUACAUGAUUUCCCCCUUCCAUCUCAUGUGAAAGGGCUGUAAUAAUUAUGACCAUUUGCUGCGGGUAUGGGGAGGAAUCAAGUUGGGAUCAAGGGAAGAGAUAGCUAUAAUAGUGACAUCAAAAGAGAUCAGUGAAGUCUUAGUGCUGCCAGAUGAUUAAAUCCUUCAAAGCACUCAGAAGGGCUCAGUAUCUCCAGAAUAAUCCAUUUUCUCCCUAGUUAAGCCUACUUUAGCUCAAGCACAAGGAUUACAGGUACAUUUAAAAGCAUUUUGGGGGGGUCUGGGGAUGUAGCUCAGUGGUAGAGUGCUUCUUGCUAGUGUCUCUCUGUCUCUCUGUCUCUCUCUCUCCCCGCCCCAGUCUUUUCAGUUGCUCGGUGUUUCUGUGUUGUGUAAGUAUAAAACUUCAUAAUGGGUCCCGCAUUGUAUCAGGUUUGGGAUUAUGAACAAUUGUUCUUUGGCUACAAAAUCAGUCAUUGCAAACCCCAAAGACCCUAUGCUUUGCUCUUCUAUUAACUUUUACAUGAAUUUGAAUGAAUAGAUGUUCUUUGUGUUAUUCAGAAUAGUAUAAGUUGUAUGCCACUAAACAGUACUCCCUCAAAUCCCUUGCCUUGACACCAUAGAAGGUGAUUUCUCACUCAGGCUGACCAUGUCGAGGCCAUGCCAUGUAGAAGAGGUGGACUCUGGGCUGCAGUAGGGGAGGAUAGAGAUGGAAGGAGCACCCUGGUUGUGUAAAGGAGGAGCAUCCCUUCAUCCUUAGAGUGAUACACACCAUCUUAUUGGCCAAAGAUAGCCACGUGACACCAACCGGAACUGGAAGGAAGCCUAGAAAAUCCCAACUGUCUUUCCAUGUCAUUCUUUCAUUUGAUCUGAGCUUUUACUUAUAUCCUGGGUCUCUUCCCAUUGAGCUAUCUGUUUCUUAUCUGUUCCUCUUCCCCUUUCAAGAUCUCCCAAUAAACAAAAUGGAACACUUUGUCAACCCUGAGACUGUUUAUAAUGCUGACCCUGGUUCUUUUCUGUUAUCCGUCUCCCAGACUUCACUUCAUCUCUCUGUGCUUCUUGGGAUCUUUAACUUCCUGUGUAAAUCCAACCUGCAAAGCACUACAAAUCAUUUUUUUUAAUUCCUUGUUUUCAUCUAGUUACCAUAUUUUCUAAGAUUCCACAAUGACUUUCUACAUAUGUGUUAAGUCUCACUCAUCCUGGCCGGGCCCUAAUAUAUACUAAUCUGUUUUGUCUGUCUUCUGAAUACAAGCAGUUCCUAAAAUCCGAUCUCUCUCCAGCUGAAUUUUCAGGGGCACUCCCAGGCAGGUGACUGUGAACUGUGGCAGACAUGCAUUUUCUGGUCUAAAGUAUCAGAUCCUUUAUGACAAGGGCCACUGCCAGGGUGUUUACCAUGGAUGGUUCUGAGUGUGCUAUACCCACCUAAACAUUAUCAAAUGUACCCUACUUUGUCAAGGCUGUUCUUUACAAAAUUCAAUAUGUGUGCAACUAGUAAAUGGUUUAGUUGUUAUAUGAAAAGUAAUAUCAAUGAGUAUAACAAUGAUAAGAUACAUGCAAACAGACCUUUUGAAAGGCAUCGAUUUAUUUUACUACUUUGGCGUCAUAAGAUUAAAAAAAUCAUAGCACAGAGUCAUACUAAUUUGGAAUAAAAUUUCAACGAUAGCCCCAUUGGCUGCACAUUGUUCCAUCGGCCCCCUGUAAAUGCUGCCUGUGGUCAGCAAUGCAGUGUUGAGUAUUUGGUUUUAAUGAUUAUUUUCUGAUUUCAUACAGCUUCCUCCGGCUUUGCACCACAAUUUGAAAAGAAGAGUUAUAGAGAGAUUCAAGAAAUCCCUCUUCAGCCAGCAGAGUAACCCUUGUAAUUUGAAAUCUGAAAUUAAAAAGGUAUGGUAUUCUAUAUAUAGGAAUUCUUUAGCUGAUAAAACACAUCAGUUACAUCUUAUUCUUCCUUUACUUUGUGCUUUGAGCUCUAUCCUCUAUUAAAGGGUUUUAUUACUGCUUAAAAUACCAAAUAAAGUGUAAGUCUUAGCCUCUCCCAAAGGUGAGAGCCUUUGUUUCUUUAGCCAUUAUUUUCAGAUGCUAAUAGAGAGUUCUUUCAGCAUUAUUAUGUAUUUUCCUAAGAAUAAAUGUUAUUAUUUAUUUAUUUGUGGUGCUGAGGGUUGAACCCAGGGCCUUGUGCAUCUGAGGCACACACUCUAUGAAUUGAGAUAUAUAUCCCCAGCCCAAGAAUAAAUGUUAUUAUAUAUCUAACUUAAUGUGUGUAUAUUUCACAUAUUUUAGAAGAUUCCACCCCAAUAUUUUAUUAGAAGGAGUCUACAGGGGACCCCCAAGUUGAACUUUGCCCUUUUAAAAAGGCAGUUGAUGCUCUGAGACCAUGAUUUUGAUGAUUUGUGAGAGGGCUACAUGAACUAUUUCUAAUGUUGUUUUUUUUCCCCAUAUUCAGCAAUCUCCUAAACUUGAGAUGCUAAAAAAUAUUUUUAUUCAUACAUUCACAUUUAGUGACUAAAUCACUAAAUUAACUAUUAGUGAUUGUUUAAUUGUUUAUUCUCUCAUUAGCACAACUUGGUGGCAGUAAAUCCCUCUGUCUUAGAAGUAGCCAUAAACUCAGUUUUCUUGUCCCUGAAAGGCCCAAAACACAGGUCAUUCAGCAAACCCAGGUAAAGAUGCUUGGUCCCCUUUCAAUUUUAUAUUUAAAAAUUUUUUUCUUUCUUUCUUUUUUUUUUUUUUUUUUUUAACAUUGUUAACCUUGGCAUGGACAUACCACCAAUGAACUUUCCCUUUGACUUUCUUUUCCCUAUAAUGUAUCUGGUCUUAAACAUGGAUUAGGAAUUAUUCAGGGAAUAUGAUAGGCUUUUCAAUAAGAAAGGCUAAUAGAACAUUUGCUCCGCUGCCUUCCAUCUUCCAUGCCUGCACCAUUAGUGCCUGUACACACUAAAAGGAGAUGGGGAGGGUACUCAGGUUGUAGGUAAAGAAAGCACAAACCCUGUCUCAUCAGAGAUUAGAGAGGGAGAUUUCUUUCAUGCAUUGUGUUGGCAAAUAAGGCCAAGAAACGAAACCAGAGGAGAUGGAAACAGAAACAGAGACCUCCCAUAUUUAUUUAAUGAUACUUACACUCUGUAUCCUGAAGACUAGUAAAUAUAUUUUUAAAAGACAGAAGCUCAUAUUUCCCACAAAAGAUUACCUAUUGCUUGGUUUCUCUAUUCUUAUUAAAGUGAUAUUCCCAAUAAUCCAUUUUGUACAUAAACUUAUUUUACCAGAAAUCCUAGUUUUAAAGGUGAAAGCUUCUACUACAAAGUGGUAUACACAAAGGUGGCUCUGACUCUUCCUUACUCAGUGAUUUUCCAACAGUGUGUGUGUCCUUAAAGCAAAUCAUUUUCAUUUUUUAUUACUCAGACUUCUGGUUCUGCAUCCUUGCCUUGCUGUCUUUCUCUCUUCCCCUGAAGGCAAGGAGAUUUCUUUUUGUUGAAUUGCACCUCCCCCUGCAGACCUGCGCUUUCCUCCUCUGCACCACGGUAGCAUCUCUUACUAGUGCAGUUAAUUUCUCUCCCUUCUGGUCUAGGGAGGAAAAAAAAUGGAGAUUAACAGGUGGUAUAAGUGUCCUGGGGGGAUAGAUAUAUCCUUAUUUUCAACUUCAUUUAAAAGCAGAUUCAACUCUCCUGUGAAGAUCACAGGGGUCCCCUUCUCUGAUUCUAUAAGCUCAUGGAAGUCUAUGGGACACCCUGUGUGGACCUUUGGGCUGGGAAAGAGGAAUGCUCAGCUCCAUCCAGGCUCUGUUGAAAUCUACUAAUAAGUAGGUUGUGUCUACUUAUUAGAAGCUCUAUAGGCUCCCAGGCUGGAGCCAUAAUGCUUAGAGCAUUAUGGUGUAUGCCUUCUUGCUCUGUCCCUUGCAGAGGCAGCCUUGACCCCUGUGUGUUAAGGAAACCUUGCCCAGAUGUUGACAUCCUUCCUGUUCUUCACCACUGAACUGAGAAGUCAGCUCCUCCAUAAAGGCUUCCUUUAAUUUUUCCUGUUCAGGGUUAAUCUCCCCUUUCUCUAUGACUGGAUCACUUUUUUACUCUUAUAUUUAAAGUAUUUUUUCUUCUGACUUACAGUUCUGUUUUCCCCACAGGCAGUGUUUCUGAUCCAUUUUGAAGGGUUUUAUGUAGUGCCUGGCAUGUAGCAGGUCCUUGAUGUAUAAUUAUUGAUUAUAGAAUGUAUCAUUUAUAUAUUCUGUAUCAGAUACUCUCGGUGUACUCAAUUCUUGAUUAAAAUAUAUAAUGAUGUAACAUAUUCCUAUAUUUCCAUAUGAAUGUUGAAAGAUCUCCAGCCCCCAUCUAAAUCUAAGUGAGAAAAUUGUGAGCUGUUUCCCACCUUUCUGGUAUAAUCUUUUGCUUGCAAUAAUUUUUUUCCAGAAGUAGAUUUUUCACUCUGUGUAUAGUCCUAAAGGAUUGGCCAAUUAGCCUUUGACUGAUCCAGUUGCCCCACAACAGGGCUGCACAUAAAAUACCCUUGAUUCUCCUCUCUCUCUCUCUCUCUCUCUUUCCUGAAACUAGAGACCCCAUGUCUCUAGGUUGAGAGCAAAAUUAGGGCUGAUUGUGUCUACUUAUUAAGAAAUUAGACACAGCAGGAUAUAUAGAGAAGUCGAAAACGGACGAGCCCUUUCCUAGGAAAUUAAAGUCCUUAUUUAUAAUUCACCUAAGGUGGUCUUCAGUACAGCCUGCUCCGUCUUGCCUGGAACUGCAGGGACAAUAAGGCAACCGAGUGACUAUAUCGGUGUCUUUGGGAACUAAGAUUUUCAUCAUGGGAAAAAGAAGAAACAGAAGCAAGAGGUCAAUUCAAAUUAGCACUGGCAGUAUCCCUUUGAAGGAAUAUAAAUUCAUGACAAAUCUUAAAAAAAAAUACACGUUUUCUAGUACCUAAACUAAAAUGGUUUAGGAACUAACCAAGCAGCAAUGAGCUCCUCUAUCUAUCCAUGGUUCCUCAGAGAUAGCUGAUGGGCUUGGAGCAGCAAGGACACAGGACUAGGUUGGAGUAUCUUGACAUAGCAUGUGUGUCAUCGAGGACAGCUGGGGGCAUAACCUGCAAAGGCUCCCACUGCCUAUCUUUGGGAUAAUUGGAGUACCCAUGAGAGUAAGAACCAAAAUGGAUAAUUGAAAGCAUUAAAUAAUGUUUAAAUCCAAGUGUUCAUAAUGAUACUGAAGAAAAUCUCUCAUUGGUUACUUCUCAAGAAUACUCAGUUCAUUAUUUUAAAAAUUGUUUGCAAAUGUAUUCUGUCUGUCCUUUAUUAACUCUGUCUUGGGGUAACUAAAUGGUUGGUGAGGGGAAGUUUCUCAUUAUGGAAGGACUUACUAAUAACUGCCAAAGGAGUAAAGAAUAUUAUAGUUAUGCAGCCCCUGGUGAUAGAGUGGAUCUAGAUAUGAUCCUCCAAUGGCUACUAACAUCACAAGAACAGGGACAACCUGGCAUGCUAUGCCCCCUGAUGGAAAUGAACAACACUAAGUCUUCUUCUUGCUAAAAGCUUGCUUCUACAUCUGAUCAAGCCUCUAAAUACAAAGUCAACCAGACUUUGUAUAGUUAGAGCCCUCAGAUCAAUGUGGUUGCCACCUGGCUUUGCAAAAAGUUUUAUUUACACAAUCCUAUGCAUUCACUUAUAUAUUGUCUAUGGCUACUUUUGCAUUCCAAGCAGAAUAGUGUAGCUGAGACAGAGGCCAUAUGGCCUCCAAACCCAAAACCUUUACUAUCUAACUGUUUUAAGAAAAUUAUUUGCCAAUCCCUGCUCUGGAUCAAGCUUACCACUUGCAGCAAAUUCAGAAGAGAAAGAGAACAUAUUAAUUGAUAGCAUGAGGAUAAUUGUGGAUAAUUGGAGUAUUGGAGUAAUUGGAUUAAAACCCAUACAUGGAAAUUCUGCAGGAAAACUGACCUGUUUUUUUUCAAUAAAUAUAUUGUUAGGAGGAGUGGAGAAAGAGAAAGGAAGAGAAAAGGAGGGGAGAGAAAGGAAGAGAGGGAUUGCCUAUAAAGUUUAAAACAUUUUAGGGAAAAUAUCAACCACUUGCAAUAUAUGGACUUACUCCUUACUAACUUAAAAAAAAAAAACUUGAAAAGCAAAGUUCAAAACACGUAUUUUUUUUGAGAUAAUCAGGAAAAUGUAAACAUUGGUUGUAAAUUUUGUUUUAUUAAGGGAUUAGUCAUUUCUGUUGGGAUAGCUGUAUUCUGAUUAUUUUUAAAAAUAAAUCCACAUUUUUUCCAGUGCCACGUUGAGAUUUUAUGGGUGGCCUAGUGUGUUUAAAGGGUUCCUUUUCCAGUUUCUGUAUGUAGAACUUGCAUAGGUAGGACAGGAUGUGGAGGAGAUAUAAAUGAGGCAACCUGUUUAAGCUGGUUGGUGGGUUAACGGAGUUCAUCGUGUUGUCCUCUCUAGUUUUGUUAAAUGUUAGAAAUUUUUUAAAUAAUAAAAACAAUCAUGCAUUUAGUUUGAGUGUUGAUGCCAGAUCCCUCCCAGACCAAUGUCUGGGCAUGAGUGUUUUGAAAACAGCUCACCUAGCAAAGCUGCCACAUAGAACUGUAGUGGUUCUGUCCUAUCCAAAAGCACCUGGAUGAAGGGUUUACUGGGCUGCAUCCUCUGGGGUAAGAAGGUGGCUUUUUAAAAUUUGUACAAAAGCACAAUGGGCACUGGAGCCAUGUGAUUCUAGCAGGUAGCAAGGGCUGAGAACCAUUAUGUUAUAAGUUACAAACAUCAUUUGGACCAAGAAUGAAUACAAACAAAACAAUCUAUACCCAGGUGAGAAGCAGCUAAUGAUUUAAGCAUUGAGCCAUGGCCAGGAGUUCUUAAAUUUUGCUGCUUACUGGAAUUACCUAGAGCUCUUAAACAUAACAGGCCGCAUGUCCCUUCCAUCACUUAAUCCCCCACGGAAAUGGAACUCCAGAGAUUCGAUCCAGGUAUUGGUUUGUUUUUAAAUCUCAGGUGAUUUCUUUGUACAGACAAGGUUGAAAAUCAUUAGUCUGGUAAGGUCAACAUUUUUCAUAUCUUAUUGUGCAUAUCUGUCACCUGAGUUAUUAAUGUGGGUUGUGAUUCAGUAGGUCUGGUGAGGAGGGGAGAUUGUGCUGUGCCCAUCUAGGGGCAUGCUUUGAGUAGCUGAGCUGUAUAGAACAUAGUGUCUAUCCACUAGGAACAUCUGGUGUAUCCAAAGACUUUUUGUUAGAAAGAUGGUCUGUCUAGUAGGCCAAAAAAGUUAUCUAGAUACAAUCCCAUCCUGGGCCUCCAUUUCUGCAUUUUACCCAGCUCCUCCAGUGCUGCUGCUGCUGCCAUUCUAGGGAGCACCCUUUGAUGGGAAGGCCUAGAGAAAACCCUGUGAUGGUCUUCCAGUGGUGUGGGGUAUAUGGCCCAGAACUUCUUCCUCUAGGCGUGUGCCUCCCUGGUUCUUCUCUUCUGUUUCCAAUCUGGUGUGCACUUGAGUGCAGAUCAGCAGGUCAAGUUUCCAUUAUUUAACAGCUGGCACAUUCUUUGCUUCUUUACUCCAGCUUUUCAGCUCUUUUUCAGGCAGGCAGAUUGCUCAGCAUCCUGGACUUAAUUAAUUAAUUAAAUGGUCCUUUAUGCAUAUAAUCAUCAUGGUUUAUAUUUGCCUAGUCCUUGCCAGGGCCCUUGGAGACAUCAUAAAUCAGCAGGUGCAGCACGAACCUGUUUAGACCAAGUGGAGGAGGACCUAUAGCAGGGCUCUCCUGCCUGGCAGACUCAGGCCACCAUUCCCUCUUUGCCUCGACCCCACCAUCAGUGUCCGAUUCAGGGUCUGCAGAAGACAAAUCUUCUGGGUAAUUAAUGGUAGAUUUCCAGUCUUUUAGUUUUGCUAGGUAGACAAAAAUUCUUGAUGGGAAUGUAAGGCCCUAUAUAGCAGGGCUACUUUUCAUUAGCAGUGGGGACUUUGAGAGUGUUGGGGGGCUGAUGAUGGACAAGCAUAUGUGGGUGCAUGUGCAGAUGUGUGUGUAUGUGUGUGUGUGUGUGUGUGUGUAAGAAAACAAAAAAAAAAUAAAGACUGGACACUUUUGUUAACAAAGUGGCCUAUAAAAAGCUAAUAAAAAGCUAAUCGGAGCUGUAGGUUAGAAAAGAUGCAAAAUUAGGAAAUAAGUUAUGUCUUAUAAUGAUGCAGUUCAGUCAAAGAAGACAAGGAAAUCCGAAAGGAAAUGAGACCAGAGACCAGCGAGUGCAGAGUGAUGGAACAUGUUGUGAAUUUUCUCACUGCUGGUACCUCAUUUCAUUUAUGUUUGGCUCAGUUUCUUCCAGAGUCCUACCUCAGUUGCAUUAGAUCCCACAUAAUUUGUGUAGUUGUUCUGCAGCAGAUAGCCUUAUUUUAUGAUAUGGGAAAGAAAAUGUUGUUUGGGAAAUUUAGUAGCGAUUACAUUUGUAGUUUCUCAUUGUUUUCUUCUGUUUUAGGUUCUGUCUAAAAAGUACUAUAUUCUAUUGACCAGUAAGUGCUCAAAUUGCAUAAUACCUGUUCAAAGUCAAUGGUGUUUGGGGAGGAGGAGGAGGAGGAGGAGGAGUGGGAAUAGGGAUAUGCAGCCUGUUCUCUGGAAUGUAUUUAUUUGACUUGCUUAGUUCAAAAGUGUGUAUCAACUGGGCAGGCUGGGGAAUGCCCAUAACCCCAGAGAUUCUAGAGGUUGAGGCAGAAGGAUUCCAGGUUCAAAAUCAGACGGUGUAACUUAGCAAGACCCUGUCUCAAAAUAAAAAGGAAAAAGGGCUGUGGGUAUAUAACUCAGUUCAAUCCCCAGUUCCCCCACCAAAUAGCAUGGAUUAUUGUUUGUUCUUCAGAACUGUAAUGUCUGUUCAGAGCAAGAGAGCCCUCUUAUUUCAGUUCAGAAGAAGGUCUUAUACAUGUUUCCAAAUAGCAUGUGUGCCACACACAGGAGGUACACCUGUCAGUGGAAGGUUCACAGUGCACUGAGGACUUGGGCAUGCUGGCCCAGGACUGCUGAUCCACUGGCUUGCUGUGAGGGCCACUGCUUUAAAGGUGUCCUGCUGUGUCUUCCCUAUUUCCGCCUCCUGGGGAACAUUUACUUUACCAUCUGGCACACCCAGGAUUAGACUUGCCACCUUGUUCUCCCCUCCUCUGUCCACCCCAGUAACACUGGCAACGUAAGUUUGCCUUCUGCUCCGUCUUUAAAUCUUGGCGUCUCUUUCAACUGCUUCACUUCAUUUUUCAGACACUUAUUUCUCUGCAGUAAUGGGGAGUGAACCCAGGGCCUCACACAGACUAGGUAAUUUCUCUGCCACCAAGUAUUUUUUGUGUCCCCCAAGUUAUUAGCAGUUGGGACUGGUGGCAGGAUGGAUGGUUCUGCUUGACCUUUGGUGGUAGGCAGCCCUGGGUUCCGGCCCUGGUUCUACCACUUAAUAGCUAUGCUCUUUGGGAAAAUUAGUUUAUCUCCCUGUUUCCUCACCUGUAAAGUGGGGAUGAUAUUUACUUUAGGGGAUAGUUAUAAGAACCAAAUAUAUUAUUAAAUAUGACUAGAGUGUCACAAGCAUCCCUAGCUGACAGUGGGUGCUACUGUUGUUAUUAAUGCUGGCUCUUCCACAUCCUUCCUUCCUUUGUCACCUGGUCCAGGUUCUUGGCCCUUCCCUCUUUCAUCAGCGCCACAGCUGCUUUGCAGAUCUCCUUGUUUCCCAGACUAUCAGACUUAAAGAUAGUUCUUUAACACUUGCUUUUUAUUAUCAUACUAAAAAAUGUUAGUAAUUUCUGAAUCCAUCAUCUCAACUCUGGGAUCCAGCUUUCCAGACUAGAUGAGUUACUUAGUAAUAAGUCACUGAUUUAUUUAGUUGAGCCUCCUCAUACUCCUCCUAGUGUGUCUGCAUUCACCCUGCUCUCCCAGCCCCAAUCCAACCACUAUGCUCAUUGCAUUGCAUCAAGGGUGAUUCUUUCAAAGCAGACCAUCUCCCCCACCUCUUUCUCUCUCACAUACUCUCUCUCUCUCUCUCAAUCUCUCUCUCUCUCUCUCUCACACACACACACACACACACACACAUACACACACACGUAUCACAGAAAACCCUUUGGAGGAUCAUUUAAUAGAAUACAAAAAUCCUCUCCAUGUUAUUUCCACUCCCAUUUGGUCCAAACCCUGCUUAUCUCUCCAUCACGUGCUGCUCUUGCCCCUUGCUGUCUCCAGAGCAGCCACGAGAGCCCUUUUCUAUAGUUUGCUUAUCUGCCAUGCUGUCCCGCCAGUCUUUGAUCAUGCUUUCCCCAGGCUGUAAUGCUCUUUCCACCCGAUCCUUCACUCAUUCUUACUUAUUACCUCAGUGCUUGGCAUAAGUGGUACCUUGGGAAAGCCUUUCCUGGAUAAAACAAAUCUAUCAUCACCUCCUAGAGCCACAGACCUGCCCUUCAAGGCAUUCAGCACAGUUGCAAUUUUACACGUGUCCAACUAAAUAUUUUACAGGCACACCUCCCCCCUAAGUAGGCAGCAAGCUCCCAGAGGAUAACUUGAUCGUCACUGAGUUAUUUCAUUCUUUGGAUUGGUGUUUGGCACAUAGUAGUUGAUUUUAAAACUUCACCGAACUAAUGAAUGUCACUUCCCCCUUCAUUCUGAAUCCUUGUAACUCCAUAACAAUGGACUCAUGUCAUUUUCCUCUCAUUGUUGUGUCUUCAGUCUGCAGUGCCUGACUGUUACCCCAAACUCCCCUCACCUGGAUUGCCAGCUUUGCUUCCUUCAUUCCACCCACCCACAUCCAGGCUUGGUUUCCAUGUUCCUUCUACAGAACCUCUGCAAACCCUGGUGGCCUCCUCUUUUAAAGUCUAGAAUGCACCGUCUCAUACUUCAUGAUUUCUUGUAUCACCAUUUCACAGAUGUUAACCUAUUCUUCUAGUCAAGAUACAGAUCUUGUAGAAGGCAGAUCAUGCCUGCAGCCUGCUCAUAUCAUACAGAACACGCUGACCAACACACAGGAAGGAGCAAAAUGUUUGCUGCAAGAAUACAUGUAUCUAGAAUCUGAAGCACAAAUAGAAGUUCAUAAGAAGCUCUUCGCAUAAAAAUAAACAUACAUGGGUUCAAAUGCAAGGCCAGUGGCUUUUAGUCUUUGCCUUCAUCCAUGGGCCCAUUUCUUUGAGGUUCCAAAGCUAAAGGAGAUAGCUAAUGUGACAUAAGACUGGAAACCUCAAAAAACGUUUUCUUUAAGCUUUAAAAAUCAAUGAAUAAAACUUGUUUUUUUUUUUUUUAUACAAUAGCAGCCUUGAUCUCUCUAGGUCACCCACCCUUUAUAUACUUUUCUCUGGGGCUUUUUGGGUGUGAAAUCUUUAGGAUUUCAAGAUAUAAACUUCUUAAUUAAAUUGAACAAGCUUUCUGUAAUGAAGGGGAACAUUUCAAGGCAGCCAAAUUACUCCUGUGCCAAGCAUAGGAGAAAUAUCCCUAUGGUCAUUUGAAAGGUAAUGCCAGGAAAUUAUUUUCAGCAUCAUAAUACAUAUUAAGAGGCUUAGCUGGAAUGACCUGCUCGCCGGGUAGGGAAAACACAGAAUGCUUAGGGCUGACCUCCAGGCACUGUCAGAUGUGACUGUCAGAUCCUCCUGCAUUACAGUGUGCUACAAUCUUACAGUCUUGUCAUAUUACAAAUAGGUUAUUAACUAAAGUAAGGAAAAUAAAAUUUCAAGAAUAAAAAAGGCUGGAAUUAUUUUUUCUUCUAGUGUCGUAGAUGUUUGGUAAUAUGGAGACUGGAAAACACAUAAAUUGGGGCUGGGGAUGUGGCUCAAGUGCUCGCCUGGCAUGCAUGCAGCCCGGGUUCGAUCCUCAGCACCACAUACAAACAAAGAUGUUGUGUCCGCCAAAAACUAAAAAAUAAAUAUUAAAAAAAAACAAUCUCUCUCUCUCUCUCUCUCUCUUUAAAAAAAAAAAAAAAAAGAAAACACAUAAAUGAUUUGUAUUUGCAGUAUCCAAAGUACAAUGAUGGAAUAAUUAGUUAUUACUUGCUUAUAUAAAAUAUUUUCAUUAAGGCAUAAAAUGCAUGAUGCAUACAAUGAUGUACAUAUACAGCCAGCACCAUAAGUUUGUAGACAUUUAUAUGAAUCCACAUUUAUAUAUGUUCGCCCAGGUGACCAUAUAGAACCCACAUCAACAUAUAGAACAUUUCCUACCCCACAGAGGCCUCCUGCUGGUUAAGCUCCUUCCCUUGCCACAACGUAAUCUUUAUCCUGAUUUCUUUCACCUUUGAUUAGUUUUACCUGAUUAUGAAAAUGUAUAUAACUGAAGCCAGGUGCUAUGUAUUCUUUUGUUUCUGGUUUCUUUUGUUCAACACUCAUCCUUGUUUUGAGAAUUCAUAGUUUGUUCUUUGUUAUUGCUUUGCAGAAUUCCAUUGUAUGAGCACAUUAUGAAAUAUCUGUUCUUCUAUCCAUGGACUUUGGGAUUUUUUUCCAGUUUUUAGUUAUUAUUAAUAAGGCACUAUGAACAUCCUUUCCCUUGUCUUUUGACGGAUAUAUGUACUGAUUUCUCUUAUAUAAAUCCUUAAGGGUGAAAUCACUGGGUUGUAGGGUUGGUGUGCGUUGUUUAACGUCCCAUAUACUGUCAGGUUUCUCAAGUGAUUGAACAAGAAUGUAUUUUAAUUGGCAAACAGAGUGUAUGAAUUCAGAGUGACUACUAUUGUUUAGUCCAAAUUAUGCCAUUUGUCUCUAAUUUAUUGAUAUUUGACCUUUUUAAAAUAUUUCAACUCAGGUAUUAAAAUUGGGUCAUCCCAAGUGCUGGUUGAAAUUAAAGGUGAAAGGAGUUGAAAAACAUCAAUAGCUUAAAAUUCCAUUUUAAAAAUGCAGCUUUAUAGGAAGACAUUAAGCUGUUGGAGCUCUAAUAAAUUCUGUCUUUGGUGAAUUACUCUUUUCUUCAGAGUGUUAGGAACUAAUGUUUGGAGAUUAACCUUAAUUAAUAGUAAUUUAGCAAAACGUAAUAAGAAACUGGUUUGUCUUGGUCAAACAAGAAGGCAUUGUUCAAAGCAGAAACAUGAGAAAGGGCUGGGAUCUGGACUAAACAUACUCUUCUGUUGAAUAAUUGGAGUUUAUUCCUCCUACACUUGAUUAAAAAUAACAUCUUGAUGUCCCAGGCCCAAGCCAUUAUUUUUCUAUCCAUUUUUAUUUUUGCUCUCAUAAAGCUAUAAAGUGCAUUUUUUUUCAUGUGACCAGGGAAUUGUCUAACUUGCUUUCACUGUAAUGUGCCCGCUUCCAAUUUAUAAGUUCUAUUGGAAGGAAGAUGUUUAUCUCUUUUCAAGGGAUUGAAAUCCACAGAGCACUAAAUUUUCUACACAGAGACAUGGGGAAAUGGAAAACACCACACAGAGGUCUCCUGUCAUUUGUUUCUGAAUAUAAAAUAAGACGUAGGUUUGCUUUUUUUCUGUUUCAGUUAUCUCAGGGAUCUCCAGAACCAAUCGAGCCAAACUUCUUUACGGCAGAUUACCAUUUAUUACAUCAUUCAUUGGGUGGAAACAGCCUGUCCUCAAAUGACCUGACAGGUAAUGGUCAUCAACAUG